GGCCUACCAUGGUGGUAACGGGUAACGGGGUGUUAGGGCACGACACCGGAGAGGGAGCCUGAGAAACGGCUACCACAUCCAAGGAUGGCAGCAGGCGCGCAAAUUACCCAAUCCCGACACGGGGAGGUAGUGACAAUAAAUAACAAUACGGGGUUCUUUAGGAUCUCGUAAUUGGAAUGAGUACAAUUUAAAUCUCUUAACGAGGAACAAUUGGAGGGCAAGUCUGGUGCCAGCAGCCGCGGUAAUUCCAGCUCCAAUAGCGUAUAUUAAAGUUGUUGCAGUUAAAAAGCUCGUAGUUGAAUUUCGGGGUUAGUAGGUUGGUCAUGCCUCUGGUAUGUACUGGUCUCACUGAUUCCUCCUUCCUGAUGAACCGUAAUGCCAUUAAUUUGGUGUUGCGGGGAAUCAGGACUGUUACUUUGAAAAAAUUAGAGUGUUUAAAGCAGGCAAGCGCUUGAAUACAUUAGCAUGGAAUAAUGAAAUAGGACGUUUGAUCCUAUUUUGUUGGUUUCUAGGAUUGACGUAAUGAUUAAUAGGGAUAGUUGGGGGCAUUAGUAUUCAAUUGUCAGAGGUGAAAUUCUUGGAUUUAUUGAAGACUAACUACUGCGAAAGCAUUUGCCAAGGAUGUUUUCAUUAAUCAAGAACGAAAGUUAGGGGAUCGAAGACGAUCAGAUACCGUCGUAGUCUUAACCAUAAACUAUGCCGACUAGGGAUCGGAUGAUGUUAAUUUUUUAAUGACUCAUUCGGCGCCUUACG
Molecule: ribosomal RNA, 753 nt
Filed under: uncultured Glomus
Lineage: Eukaryota; Fungi; Glomeromycota; Glomeromycetes; Glomerales; Glomeraceae
Description: SSU rRNA
Rfam family: Eukaryotic small subunit ribosomal RNA
Source: RNAcentral